Molecule: ribosomal RNA, 453 nt
Filed under: uncultured bacterium
Lineage: Bacteria
Description: bacterial SSU rRNA
Rfam family: Bacterial small subunit ribosomal RNA
Source: RNAcentral
GACGAACGCUGGCGGUGUGCUUCACACAUGCAAGUCGAACGAGGUAGCAAUACCUAGUGGCGGACGGGUGAGUAACGCGUGGGAAUCUGCCCAUAGGUGGGGGAUAACUAGCCGAAAGGUUAGCUAAUACCGCAUAUGCCGAAAGGUAAAAGGAGUAAUCCGCCUUUGGAUGAGCCCGCGUCCGAUUAGCUAGUUGGUAGAGUAAAAGCCUACCAAGGCGACGAUCGGUAGCUGGUCUGAGAGGAUGAUCAGCCACAAUGGGACUGAGACACGGCCCAUACUCCUACGGGAGGCAGCAGUGGGGAAUUUUACGCAAUGGGGGGAAACCCUGACGUAGCGACACCGCGUGAAUGAAGAAGCCCUUUGGGGUGUAAAAUUCUGUCGGCUGGGAAGAAAAAAUGACGGUACCAGCAAAGGAGCAUCGGCUAACUACGUGCCAGCAGCCGCGGUAAU